GACGAACGCUGGCGGCGUGCUUAACACAUGCAAGUCGAACGGAAAGGCCCUGCUUUUGUGGGGCGCUCGAGUGGCGAACGGGUGUGUAACACGUGAGUAACCUGCCCUUGACUUUGGGAUAACUUCAGGAAACUGGGGCUAAUACCGGAUAGGAGCUCCUGCUGCAUGGUGGUGGUUGGAAAGUUUCGGCGGUUGGGGAUGGACUCGCGGGUUAUCAGCUUGUUGGUGGGGUAGUGGCUUACCAAGGCUUUGACGGGUAGCCGGCCUGAGAGGGUGACCGGCCACAUUGGGACUGAGAUACGGACCAGACGCCUACGGGAGGCAGCGGUGGGGAGUAUUGCACAAUGGGCGGGAGCCUGAUGCAGCGACGCCGCGUGCGGGAUGACGGCCUUCGGGUUGUAAACCGCUUUCGCCUGUGACGAAGAGUGAGUGACGGUAAUGGGUAAGGAAGCACCGGCUAACUACGUG
Molecule: ribosomal RNA, 468 nt
Filed under: uncultured bacterium
Lineage: Bacteria
Description: partial 16S ribosomal RNA
Rfam family: Bacterial small subunit ribosomal RNA
Source: RNAcentral